Musa acuminata subsp. malaccensis (wild Malaysian banana) is the source of this 500-nucleotide non-coding RNA. Lineage: Eukaryota; Viridiplantae; Streptophyta; Magnoliopsida; Zingiberales; Musaceae. The record is from RefSeq and is a predicted model, not a curated record.
GCAGAAAGACGAGGCGGGAGCGGGAAAGGGAACGAGCUCUGCUUCCCUUCGCUGCUUCUGCGAUCUAGCAAAACCCUAAUCCCAGAUCGGCGCAAAGAACCCUAGGGGAUCGUGUCGGGGUCCGGGAGGUAUGGUCAGUGAUCUCAGCACCCCAUAGAUGUGACACAAUACACAAUGGAUCUGUGAGCCACUCCGAGGCCAAGAUCUAGAGGAAUAUGGGAAUUGAAGUUCUACAAAUUGAGAUGCUUUCUUCCAUGGGACACACAGAACAGUGUGAGCCUUGGCUUAGGGUUCCAAGUUGCCAGUAGUUCUAUAUCUCUGUCCUCAUGGCUGAAUUCUUUAAUAGGAUAAAGCCAACUAUCAAAUGCAUGGCUUUGACCUGCCUGUUGCAACAAUUAUGCAAAAGAACUUGACUGUUCAUAAUUGGAUGUCAUCAUUUUUAAUUAAAACAAAUUUGCUACGGCCUUUUAUAAAAAUUUUUACGGAAGCUUCAACGUCAA